GACGAACGUUGGCGGCGUGCCUAAUACAUGCAAGUCAACUGAAAUACCGGUAGCAAUACUGGUAUGGAGGUGGCGCACGGGUGAGUAACACGUAGGUAAUCUGCCUUCAGGUCUGACAUAACCCAUCGAAAGGUGAGCUAAUAUCAGAUGAUGCAGCGGCUUGACAUCAAGACAGUUGUUAAAGCUUCGGCGCCUGAAGAUGAGCCUGCGCUGAUUAGCUAGUUGGCGGGGUAAC
Molecule: ribosomal RNA, 235 nt
Filed under: uncultured bacterium
Lineage: Bacteria
Description: partial 16S ribosomal RNA
Rfam family: Bacterial small subunit ribosomal RNA
Source: RNAcentral